RNAcentral lists this long non-coding RNA (667 nucleotides) under Homo sapiens (human). RNAcentral's name for it is "HSALNT0182084". Lineage: Eukaryota; Metazoa; Chordata; Mammalia; Primates; Hominidae. The record is from RNAcentral.
GUGAGCCUUUUUUUUUUUUUUUCAAAAUUGUAGUUUAGCCCUUGAUGAAAAGGAGGAGCCCCUUCACUGCCUGAGAAAGAAGCUGAUGAUAGGAUCAGCCUCUCCUAGGGGUGUGAUAGCUCUUGCCUGUCACGGAUGAGAUGGACGUGUGCUCCCUGCAGGCCCGUGCAGCUGGGGCCUGUGGCGCCCCCAGGAUGCUGGCUCCAUGUUCGGCUUUCCCAGGAGACGGUGCUGGAGGAGCAGCACAGGACGAGGAAGGGCUUCUCUUGCAGGCUCCUCAGUGAGGUGUCCCGCAGCAUCCAGCCUCCUGCAGCAGCCCAGAGAGUGGCCUGCCAGAGAGUUCCACCCACACCGGCACUUCAGCAAACUUUCCUGCAGCCAGGGCGCCUCGGCUGUACCAUCUCUAACAAGAUCUGGUCAUACAGAGUGGAGGGGUUGCCUCAGCCCAGGAAGGAAGCAGAAGACCCAGGCAGAUGCAAGCAGGAAAGAAGGCUGAGCUCAGUGGCACAUGCCUGUAAUCCCAGCACUUUGGGAGGCUGAGGCAGGAGGAUCGCUUGAACCCAAGAGUUUGAGGCUGCUGUGAGCUGUGAUCACACCACUGCAUUCCAACCUGGGCAACAGAAGGAGACCCUUUCUAAAAAAUAAAAUAAAAUAAAAUAAAAUAAAA